Molecule: transfer RNA, 72 nt
Filed under: Ovis aries (sheep)
Lineage: Eukaryota; Metazoa; Chordata; Mammalia; Artiodactyla; Bovidae
Rfam family: tRNA
About the family: Transfer RNA (tRNA) molecules are approximately 80 nucleotides in length.
Source: Rfam by way of RNAcentral
UCCCUGGUGUCUCAGAUAGUAAAGCGUCUGCCUGCAAUGCAGGAGACCCAGGUUCAAUCCCUGGGUCGGGAA